ACGCUCGACACCUACGGGAGCAGCAGUGGGGGAUAUUGCACAAUGGGGGAAACCCUGAUGCAGCAACGCCGCGUGAAGGAAGAAGGUCUUCGGAUUGUAAACUUCUGUCCUCAGGGAAGAUAAUGACGGUACCUGAGGAGGAAGCUCCGGCUAACUACGUGCCGNNGCGCGUAUCUGAGCGGCGUGNGAGNG
Molecule: ribosomal RNA, 192 nt
Filed under: uncultured bacterium
Lineage: Bacteria
Description: partial 16S ribosomal RNA
Rfam family: Bacterial small subunit ribosomal RNA
Source: RNAcentral